Molecule: microRNA precursor, 89 nt
Filed under: Canis lupus familiaris (dog)
Lineage: Eukaryota; Metazoa; Chordata; Mammalia; Carnivora; Canidae
Also listed under: 1 other name
Description: mir-8799 microRNA precursor family
Rfam family: mir-8799 microRNA precursor family
Source: Rfam by way of RNAcentral
GGGAGAGUGCAGUAUCCUGGGCUGUGUCCCCGCGCCCUGGGAUCCCGGGCCUGGGUUGCUGGAAUCGCGCUCCCAGGGCUGCGGCUCCU